This 68-nucleotide transfer RNA is filed under the name Marmota monax (woodchuck). RNAcentral's name for it is "tRNA.Val". The record is from RNAcentral. Lineage: Eukaryota; Metazoa; Chordata; Mammalia; Rodentia; Sciuridae.
GGAUUGUAGCUCAGUGGUAGAGUGCUUGUCUCACAAGAAUGAAACACUGGGUUCAAUCUUCAGCACCA